Molecule: non-coding RNA, 3859 nt
Organism: Phascolarctos cinereus (koala)
Lineage: Eukaryota; Metazoa; Chordata; Mammalia; Diprotodontia; Phascolarctidae
Source: RefSeq, a predicted model, not a curated record
CCCGCCCUCCUCCCCAAGCCGCCGGCCCCACUCCGUCCCUGGCGUGACUCGGCACGUCGGGCGCAGUGAAGAGAACCCGCUGCGGCGUCAGCGCGUCUCCGUCCCCGCUUCCCCUGGGCGUCCUCCCUCUUCGGUCCCGAAGCGGUGGUGCCGCGGCCUCGGCUCCCUGCAGGCCCCUCCCGCGACCAUGGUGGGAGUGAAGGUGGUCGGGGCCGACCCGGAUUUCCAGCCGGAGCUGAGCGGCGCGGGCUCCAGACUCGCCGUGGUCAAGUUCACCAUGAGAGGUUGUGGACCAUGUUUACGGAUAGCGCCGGCUUUCAAUGCUUUGAGCAAUAAGUAUCCACAGGCAGUUUUUUUGGAAGUGGAUGUACAUCAGUGCCAGGGAACAGCUGCCACCAACAAUAUAUCAGCAACACCCACAUUUCUCUUUUUUCGAAACAAAGUGCGAAUCGACCAGUAUCAAGGAGCAGAUGCUGUGGGAUUAGAAGAAAAAAUUAAGCAACACUUAGAAAACGACCCUGGAAACAAUGAAGACACAGAUAUCCCCAAAGGCUAUAUGGAUUUAAUGCCCUUUAUUAAUAAAGCUGGAUGUGAAUGCCUUAAUGAAAGCGAUGAGCAUGGAUUUGAUAAUUGUUUACGCAAAGACCCUUCCUUCUUGGAAUCUGACUGUGAUGAACAGCUGCUUAUCACUGUGGCUUUCAAUCAGCCUGUUAAGCUUUAUUCCAUGAAAUUUCAAGGGCCAGAUAAUGGUCAGGGUCCUAAGUAUAUAAAAAUCUUUAUCAAUCUACCCCGAUCUAUGGAUUUUGAAGAGGCAGAAAGAAGUGAACCAACUCAAGCCCUGGAACUAACACAAGAUGAUAUUAAAGAAGAUGGUAUUGUCCAACUUCGUUAUGUUAAAUUCCAAAAUGUUAACAGUGUAACUUUAUUUGUUCAGUCCAAUCAAGGUGAAGAAGAAACAACAAGAGUUUCAUAUUUUACAUUUAUUGGUACUCCAGUUCAAGCAACAAAUAUGAAUGACUUCAAACGACUGAUUAAUCCAACUCAAAUGAACUAAAAACAGAAGAUUUUUUUAAAUGAAGUAAUAUAAAGAUUGAUCUUAUCCCACUCUACUCCCCUCCUUGCUUCUCUGCUCAUCUAGCACCUGUCUGCUCUCACCCUUUCCACAGUAUCACCAUUCCUGGUGCAAGAGCCUUCUCUACAGCUCCUAUCAUCUGGAUCAGCCUUCUUGUAUCCAUAUUUCAUCAACCAUCUCUCUUCAGUUCCCACCUUAGUCAUUUCUCUCACUUGGGCUAUUAAUUUUGUUUUCUUUACAACUGAGUGCUUUUAUUUAUUCGCCAUACCAUAUGUCUUAUACUGCUUUCUGUUAAUUUUUAAUUUUCUGCUGUUUUGUACUUAAUUUCAUAAAGCAUUUUAAGGAAAUUGUACUUUGAAUCACGAUUUGAAGUACAAUUCUGCUUAAUUUUUACAUUUGCUAAAUUAAUGUGAAAUGAAAUAAUCAGUCCUGAAGGCUGCUUUAGUUUUUGUUUUAUGAUAUCAUAUAUCUUUUAGUUGGUUUCAUUUAGCAAAUUAAAUAUUGCAUAACCCAUGAUAGCAUUUUCAUGUUCUUUUGUACUCACAUGAUGUUUUUGGUAGGUAGGCUUUGAGAGUUGGAGAAGGGUGGGAGGAGAAGGUGCAAGCUGCCUUAUUUCUGAUUCCUUUUGUAUCCUGAUAGAUUAGAAGGCUUUUAAGAGAGAAUACACAUUGGCAAGUUGAGAGGUAGUUGGUAAGAAAGGAGAAAGCCAUUAAGAUGCAGAAGACACUGGAAAACCCUUAUUGCAAUCAAAAUGGAUCUUCACUUUAUCUACAGCUCCUGGAUAAUUGCUUGACCCUAGCCAGAGACUGUCAAUGUUUCCUUUAAUGCCAUUACCAAUAAAUCAUUGCUUUUGUUCAGAUGGUUUCACUAGUGUUUCUAUUGUAAUCUUGAUACAUGUAUUUGUAAAUAAAAGUCAUUACUUUUGCCAAAUUUAAUUUUUGUCAUUUUAAGUAUGUAAGAAUUUUUACUUUCCAUUCAUUUUGAAAUUUUCUGGCUUCUCAUUUUAGGAGAUUUAACAUAUCCAGUGUUAUACAGGCUGAUAGUUGACUUUUUAAAGUUGAGAAACUGUCAUAAUUAAGAGUUAUCUGUUUUUGAGAAAAUAUCAGUUUAAUACAAUAAAAAUUGGAAAUGCAAGGGACUGUGAAGAAUGGAUUUUGAAGUGCCCAUGUUUGUAUUAUGUAAUAUUUUUAUUAAAGAACAGUUGGUUAUCUAGGGAAAUAGGAAUUUUACAUGAUCUUUUGCAUACACUUAAGAUUCAACUGUCUCCAAAUGUUACCUGCAAACUAUUAGAUAAUGGGAUUGAAAAUUCCUAGGUCUAAUCAUUUACCACACCAAGAUUUUUGUGUCUUCUGAAUCAUUUGUGAGUCACCGUUUCAUUUAUUGUGGCUUUAUGGACAUUAAUCAUUAGGUAAAAAUAUAGUACUUGAAAUUAAAAGUCUUUUAGUGUCAUUAAAUAAAGUUAUUUCUAUUAUGUCAUUCAUUUAACAAAUAUUCAUUGUGUUCACUACCUAAAUAUGCAAUAUAGAUGUAGAGAUGAUGGUUCAGGGGUAAAAUACCAAAGGGAGGAAGAGUAUGGCUGGAAUAACGAAAUAUGUAUAUUCACUUAAAGGAUGCUUGGGAAACAAUUUGGAGAACUUGGACAGGUUUCUCAGAGAAACCAAAAUUUGAUGUCAUUUUGAGCUGUAAUCUUAAAGCACUGGUAAAUUUACUUUAAAAAUAUCCCUGAAUAUUUAAAAAAUGGAAUGACUAUAUAAGAAUACACAUGGCACAUAUAAUUGUAUAGUUAAAAUAACUGAGUAAUAUCAGUCUGGCUUUUGGGGGUGUGUGUCUAGGGAUAGAGUAGAGAAUCUGUUUUGUCUAGAAAUAGGUUUGAUUUUGGCUUUGGGAGAUUAAUAUGUUUAAAUAUAUAGUUUUCUGGGUGUAAAUCAUGCAGAAAGCCUAGCAUUUAUUUCAUGAAACACAUGUACUGGUAGAAAUUUCUCGUUUUUAUGUACUGUUGCACAUUAAAUGGACUAUAGUGAUGCCUUUAUUUCUUAAGUACUUCCUAGCUAUGUUGCUUUGGGUGAAGUAGAGGCAGAGAGCCAAGAGAUAAUAAGGCAUGUGAGACUAUAUGUAGAGAAUCUCCAAUGAAUCACUUCUGAAAUUUAGGACAAGAUGAAUAUUAAGAGCUAUUUUUGUUAUAGUUUUGUACACAACUACCUUUUUGGGUGAUUGUUCAAGUGCCUCAUAUUACAUAUUGCUGACCUCAUAACAAUUUAUACUUGACGAUUUGAUAACCCAGUGAUAGUGAUUUUUCAUAUUUGUAAAGGAUUGGACAUCAGACCUAUAUUGUUUAUGUAACUUUUCUAUAACUUAAUUGGUUACAAUAUACAAAUCUUCCAUAAUACAAAUUGUAAAUAGUUUUAAAUGAAUGUUUAUAGGUAACUGUAAAAUGUUUCACUUAAUGGGGAGUUUUAAUACUACGAAUAAACAUGUCUUCUGGGCAUAACUUAAAAUACCAAGCUGAAAUCCUGAUGUUUUCUCAUGGUAAGAGAGUAAAAUCUAAAGGACAUUUGAAACUGUCUAUAGGAGUAAAAGCUGCCUUGGGAAAAGACAGCCAUAAUCAUUUGAACUAAAGCUUAUUUGAACAACUUGCCCAUUAAAAAGAAAACUUUGUCGAGGAAGUUAGGUGUAGAACUAAAAUUUUUAGUUAGAAUAGUGAAACCUCUCUAGCAUUUGGGAAAACUUUUGAUAUUCUUUCAUUAGUUUUUGAUGUUAUGGCUCAAUAAAUUGUUUUUUUACAUUUGA